RNAcentral lists this long non-coding RNA (2187 nucleotides) under Gallus gallus (chicken). Lineage: Eukaryota; Metazoa; Chordata; Aves; Galliformes; Phasianidae. The record is from RNAcentral.
GAUUAAAAUAGGAAUCUGUUUUUUGAGGUGUGGAAUAGUUGGGAAGAACCUGCACAUCUGUGUCUGCCUCUUUCAGCACUUCACAAGAUGACUUGGGAGCAGGAGCUGUAAUAAAUCUUGAUUCAGUUUCUCCUUUAUUCACAUGGCGAUUAAUAUGUCCUAUCAUAUCAGUUCUUCGUGUAAUAGUUGCUGAACAGAUAAUACAGUGGUAAUGUGCUCCCGUCUUUGAAAACAUCUGAUCUGCAAUGAAGUUUGGCUUUGCUAUACGACAAGGUAAGUGGCAGAUACACAUUCUGUACCCUUCAAAUUCAACAGAAAUUUUCCAGUGCAGAUUCUGGAGAUGACGAUGGAGUUUAUGGCCAUAGCAGGCUUUAAAUUUCUCUUCAGGACACAAGGGACAAGGCUUCUUUUCAGCUUCAUUCAGGUCAGCUAGUCUCUCUAGAUCACCAAGUUGUCUUUGAAUGGAAAGGUGUUUCUCUCUUGGAUAAUCAGAUGAAACAUCCAAAAUGUUACUAUCGGAUUCCCUUAUGGAUUCAUGCUCUAUUCUUUCUUCUUCGGUUUCUACUUCUGAUUCACCAACUUUCACAGACAGGUUCUUGCUUUCCACUUUUUUACAGUCAACUUCGCCAUUAAGCGCUGCGGCCUCGCCGCCGCCCGCGGGACUUCCCCCAUUCUCCGCCUCCUCCUCGGCCUCCUGCAGCCGCUCCGCGGACAACCCAGCCUCCGCAGCGUCCUCUGCUGCCAUCUUCUGCGGCGGAAGAAGAGAGUUCGGACAGCGGACCGACCGCUUUCCCCGGCUGGGCGGGAGGCGGGCAGGAAGCGCGGCGCACCGCCUACAUUUCCCAGAGUACCGCGGUGCAAGGAGGGGAGAUGGGAGGAAAGGUUUUCUGUGCUGGAGCAGGGGGCGGGUAGGUAAUGUUAGGUGUCUGCGCCCGGGGAGUUCGCUUCGGCCGGGUGGAUGUGUGUGUUUGAAAGAUGUCCAAAAAGAGACUGAAGAAAAUAAAGGAAGACAAUUUGAAUGGCCAGGAUGACAAAGUAGGAUCAUCUGUAUUAUUAUACUUUUAAUCACAUCCCCGCAUGAAAGAGAGUGAAUUAUUUAGCAGUUUUGUGAUGGAAGAAUAAAAUGAAAUGCUCUUCACCAAGAGCAGCAGGAGGGUUGAUUGUUCACAUAGCUGCAAGUUCCAGCCAGGUUUUCAAGUCAAGGUCAUACUGACCUCUGAAGGGUACUUUGAGAGAGGGGGUGACCUGGAAAGAGAUCUACAGCUGAUGUUGGAGGAGACUGACUGCUCCCAGGAAGGCUCAACAGGGGACAAUGUGAUGAACAUUGAUCCUAGUCAUUGGGUGUAGAGCAUUGCAGAGCUCAGGAGCAGGUUGCAGCCUCACAGAGUUAACCUGGCGCUCCAGAGAAGUUUCUACCUGCCUGAAGAAAGAAAAAUAAUGUAGGAAAAGGAGUAUGUGCUGCACAGGAAGUUUUUCAGAGAGAGAAGCUCCAUUUUGGGUACAAAUCAGACCCUUUUUAUAUUGUUGAGAAAUAAGAGGAUAUAAAGCAUUACUGCUUUAAGUAACCAAUGGGUGGUGUUCUUUUGUCCUCUUCCUGAGGCAGUGGUGUUUCUUGUUUGAAGACAGUGAAGGAAAACAAAACUAAUUCUCAUGUCAAUUCCUACUUUGUCAGACAGUAAGUUGUUUACUUUUGUUUUGUCUUCAUCAAUGAUAUCUUCAGGGUGUCGGCUGUUUGUACGUCCCCAAGUCCCCAGCCCUAGUUCUCAGGCUGGCAGAUGUUUUAUUCUGUCUGUUCAACAGUCAUUUUAUGUUAAAUCUUUCUCAUUACAGCCAGGUUACAUCCAGAACUGCUUUCGUCACUCCAUACUUUGACCUGCAACUGCUUAUGUCUCAAUGAUAUAAAAAGGAUGUAUUUUUUACCCAAAAUAGAGCUGCUUUCUCUGAGAAACUUCCUAUGCUGCACAAUUUCUCUUUUUCCUUGUUAUUUUACUUUAUCCUAAAGCAGGUUGAAACUUUUCUGGAAUGUUACGUUGACUCUUAUAUAUGUACUCAUUUGCUGGUAAUAACUGUAACAGCUUUUUAUCUAUGUAUAUAAUGACAAUAUUAAUCACAGUAUUCUUGCUAAUAGUGACUUGUGUUGAUCUGUAAUAAAUAAACAGAAAACCUUAGAAGAAAGCCUCUUUGUCC